UUUCCGUAGGUGAACCUGCGGAAGGAUCAUUAAUGAGUUGUCAUGGGGUUCGAUGCUGGCAGCCAGUUUUUGGAUGCAUGUGCUUGCCCUAACAAUCAUCUUCUUCCAAACACCUGUGCACAUUUUUGAGGGAGUCUUGAGUUGGUUGCCGCUCUUGGGUGAUUUUCUCACAUUCCCUUAAAUCAUUAUACGCUAUUAACAAUGUUGAACGUGCUCUGUGCCGCAAGGCCAUUAAUAUAAUACAACUUUUAACAACGGAUCUCUAGGCUCUC
RNAcentral lists this unclassified non-coding RNA (272 nucleotides) under plant metagenome. Its description in RNAcentral is "partial contains small subunit ribosomal RNA, internal transcribed spacer 1, and 5.8S ribosomal RNA". The record is from RNAcentral.